GAAGAAUCAUCGUAACCAAUGUGUUUCACUGUUUCUCUGACUACUUUUUGAUAAUCAACAUUGGCUUUGGAGGUAAUUUCACCGCACAGCAAAAUCAUUCCCGUCUUUGUGACAGUUUCUGUGGAUUAAUUCCAUAUUUAAGAUUGAAAUUAUUUAAUAUCUACUAAUAUAAAUAUUAUUAGACCAUUCCUCUACUCUUAGGAAAAACUAACCUGGAUGACCCUCGCCGACAGAUUCCGACGUAAAUAAAAACACAGAUCCAUCUUCCAUAUCAUAACUGUGACCAUUUGUUUUAGCAUAUCCAUUCAUUUUUGAGGUUUCCGGCAUUCUGAAUUUAGAGUUAGCUCACUAAAAUAA
Vanessa tameamea is the source of this 357-nucleotide long non-coding RNA. RefSeq lists it as uncharacterized. The record is from RefSeq and is a predicted model, not a curated record. Lineage: Eukaryota; Metazoa; Arthropoda; Insecta; Lepidoptera; Nymphalidae. The transcript is spliced from 2 exons.